UACGGGGGGAGCAAGCGUUGUUCGGAUUUACUGGGCGUAAAGGGCGCGUAGGCAGCGCAACAAGUCACUUGUGAAAUCUCCGGGCUUAACCCGGAGCGGCCAAGUGAUACUGUCGUGCUAGAGUGCGGAAGGGGCUACUGGAAUUCUCGGUGUAGCGGUGAAAUGCGUAGAUAUCGAGAGGAACACCUGCGGCGAAGGCGGGUAGCUGGGCCGACACUGACGCUGAGGCGCGAAAGCCAGGGGAGCGAACGGG
This 253-nucleotide ribosomal RNA is filed under the name uncultured bacterium. RNAcentral describes it as "partial 16S ribosomal RNA". It matches the Rfam family "Bacterial small subunit ribosomal RNA", at positions 524 to 776 of the family's 1533-position model. The record is from RNAcentral.